UCUUAGCCCUGAUUGAGCGGCGUGUCUGAGCUCUUUUUCUGAUUGCUGAGCUCGGCGAAGUAAACAGAAAAAAGCGAGUAGCGAAAGCAGGUAGAAAA
This 98-nucleotide unclassified non-coding RNA is filed under the name Chryseobacterium balustinum. RNAcentral describes it as "Flavo-1 RNA". The record is from RNAcentral. Lineage: Bacteria; Pseudomonadati; Bacteroidota; Flavobacteriia; Flavobacteriales; Weeksellaceae.